Molecule: transfer RNA, 72 nt
Filed under: Phrynosoma platyrhinos (Desert horned lizard)
Lineage: Eukaryota; Metazoa; Chordata; Lepidosauria; Squamata; Phrynosomatidae
Description: tRNA-OTHER
Source: RNAcentral
GCCAGCCUGGCAUAGUGGUUUGAGAGGUAGACUAUUUCUCUGGAGACCAGGGUUCGAUUCCCCACUCAGCCA